Molecule: long non-coding RNA, 4737 nt
Filed under: Triticum aestivum (bread wheat)
Lineage: Eukaryota; Viridiplantae; Streptophyta; Magnoliopsida; Poales; Poaceae
Description: long non-coding RNA (TAES_LNC019388)
Source: RNAcentral
CCCGCCCGAUUCGGCUGCUCCUCUCCAUGCCCGACCUCGCUGGCCUGCUCAUCUGGACCACAGUGAGCCCUCUACCGAUUCCCUCGCUUUCCCCUUUCGAUCUGUGCCGUUUACCGCUGCUCCCGUACUCGUCCGUGGUCGCCAUGGCUGCAGCUCCGCCCGGUCGCGUCCGCGUCCCGCGCGCCCUGCCUCGCCUAUGGCCGUAGCCUGGCCGCGAGCGCUGCUCCCCGGCCGCGCCCAGGCGCUUCCCCGCAGCCUCCCGCGGUCCUGCCGCUACUGCUACUGCUCUAUGCUGCCACCUACUGAUGCUUGCUGCUCGUGCGUGUGCUACUUACGAGGUUACGACUGCUGCUGCUCCUAGUUGGUUGCUGAUGUUCCUUAGCCACCGCUACUGUCGCCGUUGCUGCGCUGCUUGUGCCGCUGCUAACUGCAGCUGCUGCUCCUAAGCUGUUGUUGCUCCUGGCCUCCACCCGUGUGAGCCCUCCUGGCCAUGGCUGCCAUGCGCCCAUGCAUGUGCGUGCCCAGCCAUGGGCACCGUUGUGCCUCUGGCCGGCCUGUUUAGAUUAGGAUAGGGAUUAGUUUAAUGCUAAUUAGCAGAAUGGCCUAAUGACAGUGGGACCCAACAGCUAAAGUAACUUUUAAUCUAACUCUAGUCAAUGACAUGCGGGACCCGCCUACACUAUUCACUCUUUGACCAGUCCAAUGUUGACUUGGUCAACUCAGUCAAUGGCCCACCUGUCAGCCUCACACAGCCACUGGCUGGGUACACUUCUGGGUGUAUCUAGCCUUUUAGUCAUUUUUUCCGAAUUAAUAAUAAUCCAGAAAUUUAGAAAAUGUUUUAAAACUUUGAAAAUUCAUAGUAAAUAAACUGUAACUCGGAUGAAAAUACUUUGUACAUGAAAGUUGCCCAGAACGACGGGACGAAUCCAAAUACGGGGUCCGUUCAUCUGCCACAUACUCCUAGCAUAACGAACCUGCAACUUCCCCCCUCCGGUUCGUCUGUCCGAAAAUUCCUAACACCGGGAAAACAUUUUUGGAUGUUUUCCCCCUUCACCUGUAUUGAGUAGUGCCACGUUAGAACACGUCGAGCGCUGCGUUUUGCCAUGUUAUACCUUGUGAUGCCUUGUUUGCUCUGUAUUUACUAUUUCUUCCCCCUCUUCUUCUCUUCGGUAGACCCCGAGACUGUUGCUGAUGCCGCUGUGAUCGACUACGUCGAUGACGAGCCCUCCUUGCCAGAGCAACCAGGCAAGCCCCCCUUUGAUCAUCCCGAUAUCGCCCAUUCCAUUCUCUCAUGCUUGCACUAGAUUUUGCUACUGUAAUUGAUUGUUCCUAUUCUGAUGCAUAGCCUGCUUUUGUAACCUGCUUAUUGUUACCUACCUGCUUAUCCUAAACUGCUUAGUAUAGGUUGCUUAAUGAUCCAUCAGUGACCCCCACCUUGUCCUUGUUGCCUCUGCUUCAUCAUCGAAGACCCGAUCAACGGGAUCGAAGACCAGGCCCCAGCACCACACAUCACUUUCCCCUUAGUUGCUCGACUCUACUGGGUUACUAUCGAGUGCCAAGGGUGAGGCCUCAUCAGCACUUCUGAUGUUAACCUGUAGUGUAGCUAUUCGGUCGUGGUCAUCAAGGGUGAUUUCCUCCUUAACCACUUCCGAUACGGCUCUGUCGUGCAACCCCUCAAGUGUGAACCUUGAGGGUGGUUUCCCCUUACGUUCACCUUGAUGAUUACAUCGAGUGGAAUUCACCGGGGGUGAUUCCUCGGGUUUUCCCCUUGAUGUUUGAACACACAGAUACUUGCACUUUACAACUGUUACUUGGAAAGGCGGGUCGACCCUGAGGGGUACCCGCGAGUGAUGUGGAGACGGGUUGACCUGGAGGGUGCCCGCAAGAUAAUUACGAGGCAUGGCCGGGCAUUCCUAGCCCUUGCCGCAAGUCCUCGAGACGGGCCAACGGGGUCACAUCUUUCGUGAGUCUCUGCUUGUUACCGCGUUCUCCUAAUCCACUACGAUUUGGAUAUUUGAUCCGAGGGGCCUCUGGCCUGAUAGCACUAACCAUCACGUGGGCAUAGUAUGGGCAUUCUGCGUCGUAUGCAUCAGCCGAAGCUUAAUAGACGUCAGCGACUGAGCGGCGCGUGCCGGGUUGGACUGGUAAGCACCUGCCUUUUUUAAGGAGGUAGCUAGGUCUGCUCACCGGCCGCCCUCGCAACGUGCAGGAGUUCCCGGGGCGAUGGCCCAUGACCCCUGGGGGCAUAGGUUUAGUCUGGCAUGCUGGCCUCUCUAUUAAGCCUAGGUCGGGUUGCGGCGUAUUGUUUGGCCGAGGCCGGGCAUGACCCAGGAAAGUGUGUCCGGCCGGAGUUAAUCGAGCGUGGUGGGUAAGUUGGUGCACCCCUGCAGGGAAGAAAACAUCUAUCGAUAGCCUGUCCUACGGUAACGGACACUUGGAGUUGUAUCCCGAUCGAUACAACUAGUACUGGAUACUUGAGAUGAGACUUGGAUAUGAGGUGAUAAGUGGAUAGUAUGGCUCUGGGAUUGCUUUCUCGCAGGGAGUCGAGAAAGGAUCUCUGGCCGAGGUUGAUAACACUUCUACUACUUUACUUUAUGCUACUCUACUCCCUCCUGUUGCUGCAAGAUGGUGGUUUCCAGAAGAUGCUAGUCUUCGAUAGGCUAAACUUUCCCCUUCUCUUCUGGCAUUCUGCAGUCCAGUCCACAGAUAUAACCCCUUUUCAUUGAUACCGAUCCAUAUGUAGUGUAGAUCCUUGCUUGCGAGUACUUUGGAUGAGUACUCACGGUUGCUUUGCUUCCCCCCUUUUCCCCCUUUCUUCUUCUUUCCGGUUGAUGCAACCAGAUGGCGGAGCCCCGGAGCCAGUUGCCACCGUCGAUGCCUACUACUACGUGGGGACCGCCAACGACCAGGAGUAGUUAGGAGGCUCCUAGGUAGGAGGCCUUGCCUUUUCGAUCAAUGUUGCUUUUGUGCUGGCCUUCUUAAGGCAUACUUGUCUAACUCAUGUCUGUACUCAGAUAUUGUUGCUUCCGCUGACUCUUGUGUAUUCGAGCCCUCGAGGCCCCUGGCUUGUAAUAUAAAGCUUGUAUUAUUUUAAUUUGUGUCUAGAGUUGCGUUGUGAUAUCUUCCCAUGAGUCUUGGAUCUUGAUCGUACACAUUUGCGUGUAUGAUUAGUGUACGAUUGAAUCGAGGGCGUCACACAAGGCAUGAAAAUGCACUAUAAUUUGCUUGUCAUCAAUGCCUUCAAAUCUCUAUGUCUCUCUCAACAUAGCAGAUCAUCAUUAGACACUAAAUCCUUCAAUGGGAGCUUGCAAAAUGCUUGCAUUAGAUGCCUCAUUAGACACUAUAUGUUCAUCACCAAGAGCGUGUAAAAUGUUUGCAUAGAAUCCUUCAUUACCAGUUUGUUCAUUAUACACUUCAGGCUCAAGAACAACAUGAGCUUGGAUGUUUGCACCGGAAACUUUAUUAGAUUCAUCAGAUUCAGUCAGUUCAGUAUUGAUUGGGGGAGUUGUAAAAUAAGUAGAAAUUGGUUUCAUUUUCUCAUAGAUUCCCUACAUCCAAGCAGUUUUACAACACCGUCAGGUUUAACUAUUGGCCAUAAAUUGAAGAGUUGAAUUAGAUAUAAUCAGGGAUGUGAUGUACCUGCUCGUUGCGCAUGCUACUCUUGCAAGCUGCGACUGUCCGUUUGCGCAAGCUCGAUGCCAUGCCCGUGCUGCCGCCGCUGCCUUCCACGCAGGCUACACACGGGGUUGGAUCUUUAUCUUCUUGUCCUUCCGUUCGCUUGAAGCCCGACGACCGCCCUCGAACGAGGGCGUGAGGAAGUGCUGUGUCGGUCUGUCCGCUCAGCGGCUAUGUUAGGAGCGAACCAGACUGGAGGCUGGAGCGGAUGAAUUGGGAUUUUUCCUGCCGUCGAUCGAUAUGGGAGGCACUCGUUUGGGCCGCGAGCUUGCUAUAGGGCAUGCCCUGCACUUAUGUUAUUGGCCUAUCCAAAUUGAAACAUUUUUCUUCAUUUUUUACAUUGCCUGCUCGUGCGUUGGGACGAACAAAACUAGCCCGGGCCAACCUGGACGACUCAAACUAGGUGCACACAUUCGAGCCACCCGAGGCGGCCGCCCAUACCAGCCCCUAUGGUGGCGCGUCGCCCCUUUUUGCGUGUAUGAUAGGGGUAGUGAAAAUAUUCCAGUGGCGCUUUUGAUUUACCCACAGAAUGGUUGAAUUGCUUGUUUCUAUGAACUGAGUUCGCCAAUAAUGUGAAGGAUGCCAGUCUUUUCAUCCUAUUGUAGAUUGCUUAGAUCUUGAUAUGCCAAAAGUAAUUGCAUGAACUAUACAGUAAAAGCCAGUGUGAAGUGUGUGGCUACAACUAGUCUGACUAUACGUCCUCAUAUAACAUAUCAAGGCCGCACCAUCUUACCAGAUUAACCAUUCGACUUACCAAUGCAGUGUGGGAAGAAAGAAGUAUUGGGACUACGUAUCCAAGCAAUUGAUGCUAUGGACUCCUUCGUACAACCUUGUAAGCGAAAAAGAAGUUGCAGUGUGCCUGUACAAAGAACUAGCGUAAGUUCAGUGACCUGCUUCUCAGAAUUUUAGUUAGCCACUUAUUGCAAAAUUGUUCAAUUACGUUGCUUGGCUUAAUUUAGUUUGCUACUGAUUACAUAAAGCCACAACCUGUUAAUCCUAUUAUAGACUGCGCCUAUCUAUGUGUUUGAUACUUACUGUUAAGAAUUACCUGUUUGCCUGAAC